AGAGUUUGAUCCUGGCUCAGAAUGAACGCUGGCGGCGUGCUUAACACAUGCAAGUCGAACGAGAAAGGGAUUGCUUGCAAUCCUGAGUAGAGUGGCGCACGGGUGAGUAACACGUAGAUAAUCUACCUUCGAUUUUGGGAUAACCAAGCGAAAGCUUGGCUAAUACCGGAUAAAGUUUUUAUACGAGAGUACAAAAAUGAAAGUAUGCCUCUUCUUGAAAGCAUAUGAUUGGAGAUGAGUCUGCGGACCAUUAGCUUGUUGGUGGGGUAAGAGCCUACCAAGGCGACGAUGGUUAGCUGGUCUGAGAGGAUGAUCAGUCACACUGGAACUGGAACACGGUCCAGACUCCUACGGGAGGCAGCAGUGAGGAAUUUUGCGCAAUGGGGUAACCCCUGACGCAGCAACGCCGCGUGAGUGAAGAAGGCCUUUGGGUCGUAAAGCUCUGUCAACUGGGAAGAAGUUGUAUUUAUCCAAUAGGUAGAUACAUUGACGGUACCAGGGGAGGAAGCGUCGGCUAACUCCGUGCCAGCAGCCGCGGUAACACGGGGGACGCAAGCGUUAUUCGGAAUUAUUGGGCGUAAAGGGCGUGUAGGCGGUCUUAUCGGUCA
Molecule: ribosomal RNA, 608 nt
Filed under: uncultured bacterium
Lineage: Bacteria
Description: bacterial SSU rRNA
Rfam family: Bacterial small subunit ribosomal RNA
Source: RNAcentral